UGCAGUCGAACGAGAACGGGCUAUAGCUUGCUAUAGUUGUCAGCUAAGUGGCGCACGGGUGAGUAAUAUAUAGGUAAUGUGCCCUAGAGAGGGGGAUAACAUUUGGAAACGAAUGCUAACACCCCAUAUGCCCUUAAGACAUAAGUCUGCAGGGGAAAUAUUUAUAGCUCUAGGAUCGGCCUGUACGGUAUCAGCUUGUUGGUGAGGUAAUGGCUCACCAAGGCUAUGACGCCUAACUGGUUUGAGAGGAUGAUCAGUCACACUGGAACUGAGACACGGUCCAGACUCCUACGGGAGGCAGCAGUGGGGAAUAUUGCACAAUGGGGGAAACCCUGAUGCAGCAACGCCGCGUGGAGGAUGACACAUUUCGGUGCGUAAACUCCUUUUAUAUAGGAAGAUAAUGACGGUACUAUAUGAAUAAGCGCCGGCUAACUCCGUGCCAGCAGCCGCGGUAAUACGGAGGGCGCAAGCGUUACUCGGAAUCACUGGGCGUAAAGAGCGUGUAGGCGGGUUAAUAAGUUUGAAGUGAAAUCCUAUGGCUCAACCAUAGAACUGCUUUGAAAACUGUUAACCUAGAGUAUGGGAGAGGUAGAUGGAAUUUCUGGUGUAGGGGUAAAAUCCGUAGAGAUCAGAAGGAAUACCGAUUGCGAAGGCGAUCUACUGGAACAUUACUGACGCUGAGACGCGAAAGCGUG
Molecule: ribosomal RNA, 695 nt
Filed under: uncultured bacterium
Lineage: Bacteria
Description: bacterial SSU rRNA
Rfam family: Bacterial small subunit ribosomal RNA
Source: RNAcentral